This 303-nucleotide ribosomal RNA is filed under the name Cheiracanthium inclusum. RNAcentral describes it as "partial large subunit ribosomal RNA". Lineage: Eukaryota; Metazoa; Arthropoda; Arachnida; Araneae; Cheiracanthiidae. The record is from RNAcentral.
UAAGGUAGCAUAAUCAUUUGUCUUUUAAUUAAAGACUAGAAUAAAAGAUAUUACAUUCCAAUUAUUUAAUUAUUUAAUUUUCAAAUUUUAAAUUAUUUUAAAUGUAAAAAAACAUUUUUUUAAUAAAAAGACAAUAAGACCCUAUUGAAUUUAAUUAAAAUUUAACUGGGGCAGUUAAUCAAUAAUUAUUUUAAUUCAAAUCAUUAAAAAUUGAUCUAAUUUAAUUAAAAUGAUCAAAUUACCUUAGGGAUAACAGCAUAAUAUAUUUUUAAAGAUCUUAUAGAAAAAGAUGAUUGUGACCUC